RNAcentral lists this transfer RNA (69 nucleotides) under Gekko bannaense. RNAcentral's name for it is "tRNA-Tyr". The record is from RNAcentral. Lineage: Eukaryota; Metazoa; Chordata; Lepidosauria; Squamata; Gekkonidae.
GGUAGGGUGGCCGAGAGAGAGAGGCGGUGAGCUGUAGUCUCACUUACGGAGGUGUGAUUCCACCCACUA